This 71-nucleotide transfer RNA is filed under the name Salmo salar (Atlantic salmon). It matches the Rfam family "tRNA". Rfam says of the family: Transfer RNA (tRNA) molecules are approximately 80 nucleotides in length. Their secondary structure includes four short double-helical elements and three loops (D, anti-codon, and T loops). The record is from Rfam by way of RNAcentral. Lineage: Eukaryota; Metazoa; Chordata; Actinopteri; Salmoniformes; Salmonidae.
UCCCAUGUGGCUCAGUUGGUAGAGCAUGAGGCUUGCAACACCAGGGUUGUGGGUUUGAUUCCCAUGGGGAA